GAUUGACCUCGGAUCAGGCAGGGAUACCCGCUGAACUU
Molecule: ribosomal RNA, 38 nt
Filed under: Neoprotoparmelia pulchra
Lineage: Eukaryota; Fungi; Ascomycota; Lecanoromycetes; Lecanorales; Parmeliaceae
Description: partial large subunit ribosomal RNA
Source: RNAcentral